Molecule: ribosomal RNA, 575 nt
Filed under: uncultured bacterium
Lineage: Bacteria
Description: bacterial SSU rRNA
Rfam family: Bacterial small subunit ribosomal RNA
Source: RNAcentral
UGCGUCGGAACGUGCCGAGUAAUGGGGGAUAACGCAUCGAAAGGUGUGCUAAUACCGCAUACGCUCUGAGGAGGAAAGCGGGGGACCUUUGGGCCUCGCGUUAUUCGAGCGGCCGACGUCUGAUUAGCUAGUUGGUGGGGUAAAGGCUCACCAAGGCGACGAUCAGUAGCGGGUCUGAGAGGAUGAUCCGCCACACUGGGACUGAGACACGGCCCAGACUCCUACGGGAGGCAGCAGUGGGGAAUUUUGGACAAUGGGCGAAAGCCUGAUCCAGCCAUGCCGCGUGAGUGAAGAAGGCCUUCGGGUUGUAAAGCUCUUUUGUCCGGGAGGAAAUCCCGCAACCUAAUACGUUGCGGGGAUGACAGUACUGGAAGAAUAAGCACCGGCUAACUACGUGCCAGCAGCCGCGGUAAUACGUAGGGUGCAAGCGUUAAUCGGAAUUACUGGGCGUAAAGCGUGCGCAGGCGGUUUGAUAAGUCAGAUGUGAAAUCCCCGGGCUUAACCUGGGAACUGCGUUUGAAACUGUCAGGCUAGAGUACGUCAGAGGGGGGUGGAAUUCCACGUGUAGCAGUGAA